This 238-nucleotide ribosomal RNA is filed under the name uncultured bacterium. Its description in RNAcentral is "partial 16S ribosomal RNA". It matches the Rfam family "Bacterial small subunit ribosomal RNA", at positions 103 to 334 of the family's 1533-position model. The record is from RNAcentral.
CGGGUGAGUAAUACUUGGGCAAUCUGCCCUUGAGUGGGGGACAACCUGCCGAAAGGCGGGCUAAUACCCCAUAAGACCACAGGGAUGCAUAUUCCAGAGGUCAAAGCUCCGCAAGGGGCGCUUGAGGAGGAGCCCGAGUCCUAUCAUGGUAGUUGGCGGGGUAAUGGCCCACCAAGCCGUUGACGGGUAGCCGGCCUGAAAGGGCAACCGGCCACACUGGCACUGAGACACGGGCCAG